Molecule: transfer-messenger RNA, 119 nt
Filed under: Zoogloeaceae bacterium
Lineage: Bacteria; Pseudomonadati; Pseudomonadota; Betaproteobacteria; Rhodocyclales; Zoogloeaceae
Description: partial transfer-messenger RNA
Rfam family: transfer-messenger RNA
About the family: Bacterial tmRNA, also known as 10Sa RNA or SsrA, is named for its dual tRNA and mRNA-like properties. Its role is to liberate the mRNA from a stalled ribosome.
Source: RNAcentral
GGGGGCGACCUGGCUUCGACGUGGGUUGCAAAGCAGCGUUGUGCAUGCCGAGGUUUCAGUCACCUCGUAAAUCCGCUGAAAAUCAAUAAACGCCAACGACGAGCGUUUCGCUCUAGCCG